UACCUGCAGCCCAAGUGGUGCUCGUUAUUAUUGGGUCUAAAACGUCCGUAGUCGGCUGAGUAGAUGCCCGGGUAAAUCGCAGCGCUCAACGUUGCGAAUUCCGGGUAGACCGCUCGGCUAGGGAGUGGGAGAGGUGUGAGGUACUCUGAGGGUAGGGGUAAAAUCCUGUAAUCCUUGGGGGACCACCAGUGGCGAAGGCGUCACACUAGAACACGUCCGACGAUCAGGGACGAAGCCCUGGGGCGCAAACGGG
RNAcentral lists this ribosomal RNA (253 nucleotides) under uncultured bacterium. RNAcentral describes it as "partial 16S ribosomal RNA". It matches the Rfam family "Archaeal small subunit ribosomal RNA", at positions 474 to 727 of the family's 1478-position model. RNAcentral also lists the same sequence under 1 other name. The record is from RNAcentral.